UACCUAUCCAGAGAGGUGGAGGGACAGGCCCGAUGAAACCCGGCAACCAGCAUAAGCAUGGUGCCAAUACCUGCAGUUAAACUGUAAUGAUGGGGU
Molecule: regulatory RNA element, 96 nt
Organism: Eubacterium limosum KIST612
Lineage: Bacteria; Bacillati; Bacillota; Clostridia; Eubacteriales; Eubacteriaceae
Rfam family: SAM riboswitch aptamer (S box leader)
About the family: The SAM riboswitch is found upstream of a number of genes which code for proteins involved in methionine or cysteine biosynthesis in Gram-positive bacteria. The SAM riboswitch acts at the level of transcription termination control. The predicted structure consists of a complex stem-loop region followed by a single stem loop terminator region.
Source: Rfam